This 1143-nucleotide ribosomal RNA is filed under the name bacterium Sty-1-10-02b. RNAcentral's name for it is "bacterial SSU rRNA". It matches the Rfam family "Bacterial small subunit ribosomal RNA", at positions 31 to 1165 of the family's 1533-position model. The record is from RNAcentral.
UUGUGUUAGCCAGUGGGUUUGGUACACAAAAGACGAGCGGAACGAGUUAUCUGAACCUUCGGGGAACGAUAACGGCGUCGAGCGGCGGACGGGUGAGUAAUGCCUAGGAAAUUGCCCUGAUGUGGGGGAUAACCAUUGGAAACGAUGGCUAAUACCGCAUAACGCCUACGGGCCAAAGAGGGGGACCUUCGGGCCUCUCGCGUCAGGAUAUGCCUAGGUGGGAUUAGCUAGUUGGUGAGGUAAGGGCUCACCAAGGCGACGAUCCCUAGCUGGUCUGAGAGGAUGAUCAGCCACACUGGAACUGAGACACGGUCCAGACUCCUACGGGAGGCAGCAGUGGGGAAUAUUGCACAAUGGGCGCAAGCCUGAUGCAGCCAUGCCGCGUGUGUGAAGAAGGCCUUCGGGUUGUAAAGCACUUUCAGUCGUGAGGAAGGUAGUGUAGUUAAUAGCUGCAUUAUUUGACGUUAGCGACAGAAGAAGCACCGGCUAACUCCGUGCCAGCAGCCGCGGUAAUACGGAGGGUGCGAGCGUUAAUCGGAAUUACUGGGCGUAAAGCGCAUGCAGGUGGUUUGUUAAGUCAGAUGUGAAAGCCCGGGGCUCAACCUCGGAAUUGCAUUUGAAACUGGCAGACUAGAGUACUGUAGAGGGGGGUAGAAUUUCAGGUGUAGCGGUGAAAUGCGUAGAGAUCUGAAGGAAUACCGGUGGCGAAGGCGGCCCCCUGACAGAUACUGACACUCAGAUGCGAAAGCGUGGGGAGCAAACAGGAUUAGAUACCCUGUUAGUCCACGCCGUAAACGAUGUCUACUUGGAGGUUGUGGCCUUGAGCCGUGCUUUCGGAGCUAACGCGUUAAGUAGACCGCCUGGGGAGUACGGUCGCAAGAUUAAAACUCAAAUGAAUUGACGGGGGCCCGCACAAGCGUGCAGCAUGUGCUUAUUUCGAUGCAACGCGAAGAACCCUUACCUACUUCUUGACAAUCAGAGAACUUUCCAGGAGAUGAAUUGGUGAUCGGGAAACUCUGAGACAGUGCUGCAUGCUGUCCGUCAGCUCGUGUUGGCAAUGUUGGCUUAGUCCGCAACGAGCCACCCGUUAUCCUGAUGGCAGCAGAUAUGUCGAACUCUAAGGAACUGGCGGUGAUAAACUCG